This 253-nucleotide ribosomal RNA is filed under the name uncultured bacterium. RNAcentral's name for it is "partial 16S ribosomal RNA". It matches the Rfam family "Bacterial small subunit ribosomal RNA", at positions 524 to 776 of the family's 1533-position model. The record is from RNAcentral.
UACGUAGGGUGCAAGCGUUAUCCGGAAUUAUUGGGCGUAAAGAGCUCGUAGGCGGUUUGUCGCGUCUGCUGUGAAAACUGGAGGCUCAACCUCCAGCCUGCAGUGGGUACGGGCAGACUAGAGUGCGGUAGGGGGGAUUGGAAUUCCUGGUGUAGCGGUGGAAUGCGCAGAUAUCAGGAGGAACACCGAUGGCGAAGGCAGAUCUCUGGGCCGUAACUGACGCUGAGGAGCGAAAGCAUGGGGAACGAACAGG